CUUUUAUGACAGAUAUUGAUGAAUGUUUAAGCUCGCCUUGUGUACACGGGACAUGUACUGACGCUAUUAACAGUUUCUCUUGUUUCUGUGAGACAGGAUACACGGGUUCUCUGUGUGAGAAAGUGGAUGACGUUCCUGUAUUAAUCACUCUAUUCCUCACCUUAGUAACGCUCUCUGUCGUGGUCAUCAUCAUUGUGGUCCUCAUAUUCUGCAGAUUUUAAGAUACGCUUUAUUCCGGUAGUCCAAUGGCAGAUGUCUUACACCUUUAGGAUGUUCCUAUGUGUCGGAGAAGGAAGCCAUACAUGUAUGUCCACGUCUGGAAGUCCCAUCAAAUAAAAAUACCUUCCAUCACACAAUAAAUAUUUCUUCUGGUGUCUCGUGCUUGCGAGUCAACAAGAUGUAAUAGACUUGGAACAACCAAGCCUGCUUGUGAGUCAACAAGAUGUAACAGCCAAGGCAGAUUUCUCCAUUUUGAUUGGCUUGAUUUACAUUGUGAUGUCAAAGUGAUUGGUUAAAACGCAUCUUAGUGUCACGCUGCUGUUACUGUACUAUAACAUAAUGAACAUUUACAAGAACUUUUAAAGUACGAAAUACGAUGGAAUGUAUAUGCAUGUGCAUUUGCACAUGUGUAGUCGUGGGUAUGAUCUGAACACGAAUUAAAGGUUU
Ostrea edulis (European flat oyster) is the source of this 666-nucleotide long non-coding RNA. RefSeq lists it as uncharacterized. The record is from RefSeq and is a predicted model, not a curated record. The transcript is spliced from 4 exons. NCBI's taxonomy places the organism in Eukaryota, Metazoa, Mollusca, Bivalvia, Ostreida, Ostreidae.